RNAcentral lists this ribosomal RNA (29 nucleotides) under Allophoma tropica. RNAcentral's name for it is "partial 28S ribosomal RNA". The record is from RNAcentral. Lineage: Eukaryota; Fungi; Ascomycota; Dothideomycetes; Pleosporales; Didymellaceae.
CUGACCUCGGAUCAGGUAACAAACCCACG